Molecule: ribosomal RNA, 878 nt
Filed under: uncultured eukaryote
Lineage: Eukaryota
Description: SSU rRNA
Rfam family: Eukaryotic small subunit ribosomal RNA
Source: RNAcentral
CGGUGUUCAACUGGCGUGUCCGCGGGACGUCCUGCCGGUGGGCUUAGCCCGGCAAGGGCGGCCCAACUUCAAAUCCCAUCGCGGUGCUCUUCACUGAGUGUCGAGGUGGGCCGGCACGUUUACUUUGAACAAAUUAGAGUGCUUAAAGCAGGCUAAAACUUCGCCUGAAUACUGUGUGCAUGGAAUAAUGGAAUAGGACCUCGGUUCUAUUUUGUUGGUUUUCGGAACCCCGAGGUAAUGAUUAAUAGGAACGGAUGGGGGCAUUCGUAUUGCGACGUUAGAGGUGAAAUUCUUGGAUCGUCGCAAGACGGACAGAAGCGAAAGCAUUUGCCAAAAACGCUUUCAUUGAUCAAGAACGAAAGUUAGAGGUUCGAAGGCGAUCAGAUACCGCCCUAGUUCUAACCAUAAACGAUGCCAGCUAGCGAUCCGUCGACGUUCCUCCGAUGACUCGACGGGCAGCUUCCGGGAAACCAAAGCUUUUGGGUUCCGGGGGAAGUAUGGUUGCAAAGCUGAAACUUAAAGGAAUUGACGGAAGGGCACCACCAGGAGUGGAGCCUGCGGCUUAAUUUGACUCAACACGGGAAACCUCACCAGGCCCGGACACCGGAAGGAUUGACAGAUUGAGAGCUCUUUCUUGAUUCGGUGGGUGGUGGUGCAUGGCCGUUCUUAGUUGGUGGAGCGAUUUGUCUGGUUAAUUCCGAUAACGAACGAGACUCUAGCCUGCUAACUAGGCGUAUUUUCGACAUCUCAAAGGUCCGUCGUCCCGGCCCUCGGGUCGUGGGCGUGCGCGAUUUUUACUGUCGGCGUACUAUCAAUUCUUCUUAGAGGGACAGGUGGCUUCUAGCCGCACGAGAUUGAGCAAUAACAGGUCUGUGAUG